AAAUAAUAUUUUAAUACAAAUAAUUUUAGAAUCACUAAAGCAUUGCUGGGACUAAUGUGAAAAGAGUAUUUAUUUUGUUCAAUAAGUUUAGCAGAUGGUGAUUUUAAUUGAAGGAAACAUAUUCGUAAGAUCUAUGAAGUCGCACCUGGAAAGAGGAAAAGAAGGAAAUAAAAAUUUUAAAAGACUACUUCCUCUCUUCCGCCAUACAGUGGAUUCAGUGCGGGAAAUAUAACAAGUCUGGAGUUCUAUACUACAAGGGAGGCAGCAAAGCGGAUUGAAACAGGGCAUAAAGUUCCAUAAGUAGGCGCACAUCUUCACUAUUAGCGCUCUCUCGCUCGGUUGUAUUAAAUGCCAAAAUUGUGCUGAACUGAUGUCGACAGCUCACAUUGACCGCUGGUCGUUAGGACGUUGUGGGAAAACUAGACUACUUCCAAGGAAUUUGUCAGUGUGUAGGCCGCCUUAAAGUGGACUCACUAAAUAACUUGCCGGAUAUCAAGGCAUCUAGUUAAAAUAUGAUG
This is a long non-coding RNA of Ceratitis capitata (Mediterranean fruit fly), 518 nucleotides long. RefSeq lists it as uncharacterized. The record is from RefSeq and is a predicted model, not a curated record. Lineage: Eukaryota; Metazoa; Arthropoda; Insecta; Diptera; Tephritidae. The transcript is spliced from 3 exons.